This 452-nucleotide ribosomal RNA is filed under the name uncultured bacterium. RNAcentral's name for it is "bacterial SSU rRNA". It matches the Rfam family "Bacterial small subunit ribosomal RNA", at positions 340 to 786 of the family's 1533-position model. The record is from RNAcentral.
UACGGGCAGCAGUGGGGAAUAUUGCACAAUGGGCGAAAGCCUGAUGCAGCUAUGCCGCGUGUAUGAAGAAGGCCUUAGGGUUGUAAAGUACUUUCAUCGGGGAGGAAAAAACAAAACUAAUAAUUUUAUUUCUUGACGUUACCCGAAAAAGAAGCACCGGCUAACUCCGUGCCAGCAGCCGCGGUAAUACGGAGGGUGCUAGCGUUAAUCAGAAUUACUGGGCGUAAAGAGCACGUAGGUGGUUUUUUUAAGUCAGAUGUGAAAUCCCUGGGCUUAACCUAGGAACUGCAUUUUGAAACUGAAAUACUAGAGUAUCGUAGAGGGAGGUAGAAUUCUAGGUGUAGCGGUGAAAUGCGUAGAUAUCUGGAGGAAUACCUGUGGCGAAAGCGGCCUCCUAAACGAAUACUGACACUGAGGUGCGAAAGCGUGGGGAGCAAACAGGAUUAGAUACC